CUUUACCUGUGGAUAAUCUUUCCUCGGGGAUUUGCCCAGAGACCUAUUGUCUAAGAAAUAUACUAAGCAUUACAAAUGUGAAUAUGAACUGUUCAACUCUAGGAUCUUGAGAUACGGAGAAGCAGUGAAGGACACUACAGGUGUUGGCAAGCUCAGAUCAUAAAGUAAAGAGCAAAGGAUGCUGAAGAAGCCCAGUGGAUCCCAGAAAGGUUGGUGCAAUUUGCAGGAGAUGUUUUCUGGAAGGAGGAUGCUCCUGCUGCUGAAAAUGAAUAUAGUCCUGAGGGUGAACAGAGAGCUGCUGCGUUGGGCUUAUGCUCUUGACCCACCUUUGUUUCAUUCUGCUCCUGAGAGAAGAUGUUAUACAGAGAAACCUCUUACAUACAAGGUGACUGGACUUGACUGAUCUGGUAAUGAGGACAAUCCUCAACAAAAUUGGGAAGAAUGAAAAAGACUAUGGGACUUUGGUGGUCUGACUCUGGUUUUCAGCAGAGAUAUAUUUGGAAGCUUGCCAUAGAAACUCUUGGGGAGGCCCUGUAACUGCAUGUAUAAAUGCUCCUUAUGUUUUGUUGUUCAGAAAUGUUAACAUUUUUAAAAUUCUUUAUUAAUUACACUUUAUUCACUUUGUAUCCCCCUGUGGUUCCCUCCCUCCUCCUGUCCCAAUCCCUCCUUUCCUCCCCCAUCUGCUUGCAUGCCCCUCCCCAAGUCCACUGAUAGGGGAGGUCUUCUUUUCCUUCCUUCUGAUCCUAGUCAAUUAGGUCUCAUCAGGAGUGGCUGCAUUGUCCUCUUCUGUGGCCUGGUAAUGCUGCUUCCCCCUCAGGGGGAGAUAAUGAAAGAGCAGGGCAAUCAGUUCAUGUCAGAGGCAGUUCCUGUUCCUAUUACAAUGGAACCCACUUGGAUACUGAACUGCCAUGGGCUACAUCUGUGCAGGGGUCUUGGGUUAUCUCCAUGCAUAGUCCUUGGUUGGAAUAUUAGUCUCAGGAAAGACCCCUGUGCUCAGAUUUUUUGGUUCUGUUGCUCUCCUUGUGGAGUUCCUGUUCUCUCCAGAUCUUACUCUUUCCCACUUUUUUCAUAAGAUUCCCCGAAUUCUGCCCAAAGGUUGGCUAUAAGUCUCAGCUUCUGCUUUGAUAGUCUGCAGGGCAGAGCCUUUCAGAGACCCGCUGUGUCAGGCUCCUAACUUGUUCCCUCUUUUCCCCUUCUUCUGAUGUCCAUCCUCUUUGCCUUUCUGGAUAGGAAUUGAGCAUUUUAGCAAGAGUCCUCCCUCUUGAUUAGUUUCUUUAGGUGUACAUAUUUUAAUAGUCUUAUCCUAUAUUAUAUGUCUAUACGAGUGAGUAUAUACCAUGUGCAUCUUUCUGCUUCUGGGAUAGCUCACUCAGGAUGAUCUUUUCCAGAUCCCACCAUUUGCCUGCAAAUUUCACGAUUUCCUUGUUAAUUCUUAUUUGUUUCAUGACAUUUAUCAUAAAUUAACUCAGUUCAUUAACCUUUCUCAACAGUUGAUGCUCACUGGACUGAAUAUCUGAGGAUCUAUUCUUUAGCAUGAUUUUGCUCACAUAUCUACUUAGAAAUCAAUUCAGGCUUUACUAUUCUCUUCAGUAUUUUCAUAACAACCCAAUUUCAAGUCACUGUGUCUCCUCCCUUCUCAUAGCACAACAUGCUUUCCCUUAAUGUCACUGUAGUGUUACUGUCUUCACUGAAAAGAGCUGAAGCUCCCUUUGAAGGUUUUACUUGUCGCAUACCUGUGGCUCCGAAAGACCAGAGCUGAAAACCUGGGAAGUUCUUUAAUUAACACAAAAGUUGGUAUUUAUUAUUUUUUUGCAUGUGUGUGAAAUCGAAUACCCUAUUAUUUUUAUAUUUGUAUGUUUAUUUUAUAUUUAUUUUCUUAAAGAAUAAAUAUAAUGUGUGCUUUGCAUAUAAAGUAUAGUGAUUUCAAAACUGUAUAAAUAUAAAAGAGUAUGAAAGCUCUGUUUUUUUAUGUAAAGUAUUGUGGGAGAAGAAAUGGUGGUUCCUUAUUACCUGUUUCUUCAGCAUUUUUCAGAUAGGCAUACAUAUCUAACCAACUUGAAGAUGGACCUUGGCUACAGGACUAAGUCCAGAGUUCAAACUCCUGGUUCUUUGGGAUUUUCAGAAAACAACAACAACAACAACAAACAUUACCAGAAUUCUACCCUGGUUUCCUGUAAAACCUAUGAGUAAUUCAUGAUGAGUUGUCUCUAUUUGUUAAGCUCUGAGUUGUCAAAAGAACCAAGGAAAACCAUGCAGGAUGAUGUUAUAGAUUUCUAUUAAAAAUAUUUCAGUUCAGCAUGUUUUCUUCAAGUCUAAAGUAAAGAUGUCUCUGAAACCUUCAUCUGAGAGAAGCAGAAAGGUUCAUAUGUGGAGAAAUGUGUAUGGAUACAGGACCUGCUUGCUCAGGAUGGCUACUGAUAUUUGCGAAAGGUCUCCACCCUGCUGCGGAGGAGUGUCCAGAUCUGCACUACAAGAUAACAUUGGCUGGUAACUGGUCCAGACGUCACAGUUCCCCACCCAGAUCAAGUCGGGACCAGAUGGACUUGACGUCUAAAAUAGACCAAUCAUUUUAAAAGUCAACUACUCUACCCAAUCCAGUGUCGCCAAGCUUGCAACCUCUGAGAUUCCUGCACUCCUUCCUUUAAAAACCUCAGACUUCUGUCUAUUGUUGCUGUUCCUCAUUGGUUUGGGGGAGCAGCCACAUCACACAAUUGCUCAA
Long non-coding RNA from Meriones unguiculatus (Mongolian gerbil), 2719 nucleotides. RefSeq lists it as uncharacterized. NCBI's taxonomy places the organism in Eukaryota, Metazoa, Chordata, Mammalia, Rodentia, Muridae. The record is from RefSeq and is a predicted model, not a curated record. The transcript is spliced from 4 exons.